RNAcentral lists this ribosomal RNA (253 nucleotides) under uncultured bacterium. RNAcentral's name for it is "partial 16S ribosomal RNA". It matches the Rfam family "Bacterial small subunit ribosomal RNA", at positions 524 to 776 of the family's 1533-position model. The record is from RNAcentral.
GACAGAGGGGGCAAGCGUUGCUCGGAAUCACUGGGCGUAAAGGGCGCGUAGGCGGGAUGGCAAGUCAGUCGUGAAAUCUCUCGGCUCAACCGAGAAACGUCGGCUGAUACUGCCGUUCUUGAGGGAUGCAGAGGAGACUGGAAUUCCCGGUGUAGCGGUGAAAUGUGUAGAGAUCGGGAGGAACACCGGUGGCGAAGGCGGCCUGCUGGGCAGUAGCUGACACUGAGGCGCGACAGCGUGGGGAGCAAACAGG